UUAGGCGCACAGCUCAGUAGCACGUGGCUAACCUGCCCUUGGGACGGAAGAACCCCCGGGAAACUGGGGCUAAUUUCCGAUAGGUGAUGAUACCUGGAAUGGUUUUUUGCUCAAAGGACGCUUAGGGCAUGCUUCUAGGCGUUGCCCAAGGAUGGGGCCGCGGCCGAUCAGGUUGUUGGUGAGGUAACGGCUCACCAAGCCUUUAACCGGUGCGGGCCGUGGGAGCGGAAGCCCGGAGAUGGGCACUGAGACAAGGGCCCAGGCCCUACGGGGCGCAGCAGUCGCGAAAAUUUCGCAAUAAGCGAAAGCUUGACGGAGCUAUCCCGAGUGCCAUCCGCUGAGGAUGGCUUUUCCCUAGUAUAGAUAGCUGGGGGAAUAAGGAGAGGGCAAGUCUGGUGUCAGCCGCCGCGGUAAUACCAGCUCUCCGAGUGGUGGGGAUGAUUAUUGGGCCUAAAGCAUCCGUAGCCGGCUGGGCAAGUCCCCUGUUAAACCCAAUGAUUUAAUCGUUGGUCUGCGGGGGAUACUGCUUGGCUAGGGGGCGAGAGAGGCCGUCGGUAUUCCCGGGGUAGGGGUGAAAUCCUAUAAUCCCGGGAGGACCACCAGUGGCGAAGGCUGUCGGCUAGAACGCGCCCGACGGUGAGGGAUGAAAGCUGGGGGAGCGAACCGGAUUAGAUACCCGGGUAGUCCCAGCUGUAAACGAUGCAGGCUAGGUGUUAGGGCGGCCACGUGCCGCUCUAGUGCCGCAGGGAAGCUGUUAAGCCUGCCGCCUGGGGGAACGGCUGGAAGGCUGAAC
Molecule: ribosomal RNA, 793 nt
Filed under: uncultured soil archaeon
Lineage: Archaea
Description: bacterial SSU rRNA
Rfam family: Archaeal small subunit ribosomal RNA
Source: RNAcentral